Molecule: ribosomal RNA, 520 nt
Filed under: COS-degrading bacterium THI406
Lineage: Bacteria
Description: bacterial SSU rRNA
Rfam family: Bacterial small subunit ribosomal RNA
Source: RNAcentral
UGCACAAUGGGCGAAAGCCUGAUGCAGCGACGCCGCGUGAGGGAUGACGGCCUUCGGGUUGUAAACCUCUUUCAGCAGGGACGAAGCGCAAGUGACGGUACCUGCAGAAGAAGCACCGGCUAACUACGUGCCAGCAGCCGCGGUAAUACGUAGGGUGCAAGCGUUGUCCGGAAUUACUGGGCGUAAAGAGUUCGUAGGCGGUUUGUCGCGUCGUUUGUGAAAACCAGCAGCUCAACUGCUGGCUUGCAGGCGAUACGGGCAGACUUGAGUACUGCAGGGGAGACUGGAAUUCCUGGUGUAGCGGUGAAAUGCGCAGAUAUCAGGAGGAACACCGGUGGCGAAGGCGGGUCUCUGGGCAGUAACUGACGCUGAGGAACGAAAGCGUGGGUAGCGAACAGGAUUAGAUACCCUGGUAGUCCACGCCGUAAACGGUGGGCGCUAGGUGUGGGUUCCUUCCACGGAAUCCGUGCCGUAGCUAACGCAUUAAGCGCCCCGCCUGGGGAGUACGGCCGCAAGGCUA